CAGCAGCCGCGGUAAUACGUAGGGUGCGAGCGUUAAUCGGAAUUACUGGGCGUAAAGCGUGCGCAGGCGGUUAUAUAAGACAGAUGUGAAAUCCCCGGGCUCAACCUGGGACCUGCAUUUGUGACUGUAUAGCUAGAGUACGGUAGAGGGGGAUGGAAUUCCGCGUGUAGCAGUGAAAUGCGUAGAUAUGCGGAGGAACACCGAUGGCGAAGGCAAUCCCCUGGACCUGUACUGACGCUCAUGCACGAAAGCGUGGGGAGCAAACAGGAUUAGAUACCCGCGUAGUCCCUGUCUCUUAUAA
This 301-nucleotide ribosomal RNA is filed under the name uncultured bacterium. RNAcentral's name for it is "partial 16S ribosomal RNA". It matches the Rfam family "Bacterial small subunit ribosomal RNA", at positions 509 to 809 of the family's 1533-position model. The record is from RNAcentral.